UUACUUGAUGAUAGUAAAAGAUCUGAUG
RNAcentral lists this non-coding RNA (28 nucleotides) under Mus musculus (house mouse). Lineage: Eukaryota; Metazoa; Chordata; Mammalia; Rodentia; Muridae. The record is from RNAcentral.